This is a long non-coding RNA of Zingiber officinale, 931 nucleotides long. RefSeq lists it as uncharacterized. The record is from RefSeq and is a predicted model, not a curated record. The transcript is spliced from 3 exons. NCBI's taxonomy places the organism in Eukaryota, Viridiplantae, Streptophyta, Magnoliopsida, Zingiberales, Zingiberaceae.
CCCGGGAAAAUCCUGUUUAGGCUAACCAUUUAAGCGAGGAAAUGCUUAUAUUCUUAAUUCUUUUUCUAUUUCCUUUUCUUUAGUUUUUACUUCUUCUUUUCCUUGUUGAAAUCUCGCGCCGAGUCCUCCCCGCGUGCCCUAGCCUUCCUCCUCGCGCGGAGCCACCAUUUCUGCCCAAAACCGCUCGGAGGCAGUUUCUUCUCCUCUUCCCCUCUUCUUCUCCUCUACCGAUCGUCGCUGUGCCCUAGCCGACUUCACUCUCCUCCGCGCCGAUCUUCCAUCGCUAGCCACUCGAGUAGCGCCGCCCACCCCGGCCAUCGUGCCCUAAGUCCUUUUUGGAUCUGCGUGCCAACGCCGAUCAUCGACCGUAGGAACUCCAGUCGCCUGUGCCCUAGCCGGUGCCACCACAGUCCUCUUCCUCAGCCCUAGCGUCACUUCUCGAGACGCCGGCCAAGGUUCUGCUACCCUAUCUCCUCCUUUCUUCUAGUACAGCAUCGCAUACUUUCCUUCCCCUCGCGUCGUCUCGGUUGCAACGGCCGACACUGGUCGGAAAGCCGCCGAUCACCUCACUAUGGUCACACCUCUUGUGCUUUGCCUUCUCCACAGGGAAGACAGAUUCAAGGACAGAGAGUUCGGUGCCUUGGUUGUUGGCCACAAGUUUUUGGUUCCAAUCGGUUGUUACUAUCUACUGUCGAAGGGUAAGACAGCAAUUAACCUUUGCUGGCAGCAACAAAACCUUGUGUGGAUCAACAAUCAAGGCUGUGAAUAGAGGACUUUGAUUCGAGACGGUAUCUCGACGGGUAUCUCGAUUAGCGUAUUGGACUAUUUCGAUUGGAGGCGGGUACUUUGACUUAUGUCUUUUGAUAUGCAUAAUAAUGUGUUUAACAUAUAACAAUAAUUGUGUGAUCCAUUUAUUUCGGUUGGUCACUAC